Molecule: unclassified non-coding RNA, 506 nt
Filed under: uncultured Entrophospora
Lineage: Eukaryota; Fungi; Glomeromycota; Glomeromycetes; Entrophosporales; Entrophosporaceae
Description: SSU rRNA
Rfam family: Eukaryotic small subunit ribosomal RNA
Source: RNAcentral
AGCAGCCGCGGUAAUUCCAGCUCCAAUAGCGUAUAUUAAAGUUGUUGCAGUUAAAAAGUUCGUAGUUGAAUUUCGGGAUUGACGUGAUGGUCGUGCCUUACGGGGUAUGAACUGUUGCAGUCAAUUUCUCACCUUCUGGAGAAAUAUGAUGUCCUUAAUUGGGUGUCAUAUGGAACCAGAACUUUUACCUUGAAAAAAUUAGAGUGUUUAAAGCAGGCUUAUUGCUCGAAUACAUUAGCAUGGAAUAAUAAAAUAGGACGGCAUGGUUCUAUUUUGUUGGUUUCUAGGAUCACCGUAAUGAUUAAUAGGGAUAGUUGGGGGCAUUAGUAUUCAAUUGUCAGAGGUGAAAUUCUUGGAUUUAUUGAAGACUAACUACUGCGAAAGCAUUUGCCAAGGAUGUUUUCAUUAAUCAAGAACGAAAGUUAGGGGAUCGAAGACGAUCAGAUACCGUCGUAGUCUUAACCAUAAACUAUGCCGACUAGGAAUCAGACGAUGUUAAUUUUUUU